RNAcentral lists this ribosomal RNA (468 nucleotides) under uncultured bacterium. RNAcentral describes it as "partial 16S ribosomal RNA". It matches the Rfam family "Bacterial small subunit ribosomal RNA", at positions 28 to 507 of the family's 1533-position model. The record is from RNAcentral.
GAUGAACGCUGGCGGCGUGCUUAACACAUGCAAGUCGAACGGAAAGGCCAGUGCUUGCACUGGUACUCGAGUGGCGAACGGGUGAGUAACACGUGGGUGAUCUGCCCUGCACUUCGGGAUAAGCUUGGGAAACUGGGUCUAAUACCGGAUAGGACAAUGGUUUGGAUGCCGUUGUGGAAAGUUUUUUCGGUGUGGGAUGAGCUCGCGGCCUAUCAGCUUGUUGGUGGGGUAAUGGCCUACCAAGGCGUCGACGGGUAGCCGGCCUGAGAGGGUGUACGGCCACAUUGGGACUGAGAUACGGCCCAGACUCCUACGGGAGGCAGCAGUGGGGAAUAUUGCACAAUGGGCGCAAGCCUGAUGCAGCGACGCCGCGUGGGGGAUGACGGCCUUCGGGUUGUAAACUCCUUUCGCUAGGGACGAAGCGUAUUUGUGACGGUACCUGGAGAAGAAGCACCGGCUAACUACGUG